RNAcentral lists this long non-coding RNA (1333 nucleotides) under Homo sapiens (human). RNAcentral's name for it is "HSALNT0334277". Lineage: Eukaryota; Metazoa; Chordata; Mammalia; Primates; Hominidae. The record is from RNAcentral.
ACUCGCAGGCCUCCCCCUCCCCCCAGCUCCUCCCUACUACCCCCUUACAGGCCGGAGAUCCGCUACUAGGGGUGUGGGUGGGAGGGAUGAGUGCGUGUGGUGGGUUGGGGGGACAGGUAGUGGUGAGAAAGAUGGAGCGGGGGGGAAUAUUGCACCGCCUGGCCCGCGCCGGAGGAAGCAGCAGCUGGAACAGCUGGCUGGGGAGCCGCUUGCAUGCCUCCGGUUUUUUCUUUUCCCUUCCACCACCCCUUCCCCCAACCCAUUUCUGCCUCCCCGUAGCCCUCAUCCUUACCGCCCCCCUCCCCCCUAUCCACUGCAGUUCGGCGCGGCCUGGGGGCUCCUGGAUCCCCGCAGGCAGUUACUAGGGCAGGAGAAGGCAAGGGGCACUGCGAUGGGAGAGACUGGGUUCCUCACUGCAACCUGGUUCGAGGGGCCCUGGGGGAGUCCAUAAAAGGAUUACUAUUUUUUUGGCCAAUUGCUGCAGUCGGAGGGGUGGGGGCGGGGGAAGGUGAGAUCCACACCCCCUUCCUCUUUCUUCCCUGCCCUCCCCGAGCUCGGUCCCGGCCACUCCCUCCGCAGCUGGGCGUCGCCGGCCGCGCUGGGGUGAGACCCUAGCCCCGGGCUCCGUGGCUCUCUGGGGCGGUCGGUCUUAGGAAAGCGGUGGGAGAAGCGGUUUUUGCUACAAUCCAGUAGACUUGGGAAGUUUCUAAAUACUUGAAGUUGGUUAGUUCGAACUUUCAAGAAAAGGAAACAGUUAAAAACAGAGCUUGACAGGUCACCCAGGUGACCCGGUGUGUUAGGGGCAGUUUCAAAGACUGAUGUGAGGAGUAGUGGAAAGGGGUCAGUGAGUGAUACGGUCAUUGUGAAGCAUUGGCUGGACAGUUCUUUACAGCCCCCCUGCACAGCUGCAGGCUGUGAGGUAUGUGGUCAAGAAAUGGAGAUAAAGCUGUUUCUGAGUUCAAACACAGUAGGAAGGCUGCGAAAUGGCUGGCAUUGCCCGGCUGUGUUUGCAUCCUCUCUCUGCCAUUUGAGGGCAGUGGAUUCAGCAUGCAUCUUUGAAAUAUAUCCCAGCUUGUCAGAGGUAUCUCUUCUGCAGCUUGAGCUUCUCCAAGCAAGGAUGUGUUUUAUUCCAUGCUGUGUCCCUCACACAGCACCUGGGACACAGGAGGUACACAGCGAGAACCGAAGUUUGGAGGUAGACGAGCAGGCGAGCGGUUUGCCCGGGCGCAGAGCAUGAAGGCCGGGCGGGCGCGGGGAGCGGCGCCCCGGCCCGGCGCGGGGGUGAGCGAGAGAGAGAGCGGAGCGCGUGUGGCCGGCGCCGCUCGGCCGGGAG